AUAUUCACAUAGUGGCCUCUUUAGUGAACACCUUGUUCCUGCACUGUGAAGACUAGCACGGGUCCUUGUAUAUCGUGUUAGAUAGGUAAACUGUCAGUAAGCAGAAGAAAUCAGUAAUCACAGCAAUUCCGUGUAUUAUUGGCGCUUUAAAGAUCAUAAAGGGGACAGGAAAUAGUUGUGAUGGGGAUUGUCGUAUGUGAUGUUACCCCCAAAGGUUUCAGAAGUUAGCAUGUGAUCUGAGUCCUGAAUGGCAAAUAGAAGCAAGACCAUGCACAAACCAAGUUGUGGGCCUGCUUGCUUCCAUGGAGAACAGUGGAUCUAAGAGCAGAGAACAAGGCUAGUUGCCAGAACCUUGAAGACAACGUGGACACUGCUUGGGGAUAGGACAGAAAGGAAAAUGUUGUCAUUGUCAGCUGUGUAUGACAUUUGGAUUAUAUGAUCUGUGUGGAAGGGUCUGGGUCAUUGGCUGUGCACACACAUCCACAGACAGUACAACAACAGCCUCUAGUCCCUUGUUGCUGACCUUUGGGAAGCUGGGCAUGUAAGGCCAUACAUGAUCUACAGUGUUCUUGUAGAGGUCAGAGGACAACUUGCAGGAGUCAUUUCUCUGCUUCCACAAUGUGGGUCCUGGGGAUCCAACUGAAGUCAUCAGAAGCAGUACUCGGGCUUCUAUUACACUUUAAUACGAUCUACAUAUAAGAACAGGGGAGAAAACAGUGAACUUUCCAUGCAGAACCAACUCCUGGAGAAGAACCAAAAGUGGUGUGGUCUGUUCAGCCUGUUACCUGAGCAACAGUGACAAGAUCAUGUGGGACUCACCAGGUCAGUCAUUUCCUUUUCUCUUCCCAUCCGUGUGACCAGCAGCUGGUCUGUGAUGCCUUGUAGGAACACAUCCUGUUGAGCAGGUAGCAGCAAGAGCAG
Long non-coding RNA from Microtus oregoni (creeping vole), 921 nucleotides. RefSeq lists it as uncharacterized. The record is from RefSeq and is a predicted model, not a curated record. The transcript is spliced from 4 exons. NCBI's taxonomy places the organism in Eukaryota, Metazoa, Chordata, Mammalia, Rodentia, Cricetidae.